Spinacia oleracea (spinach) is the source of this 436-nucleotide long non-coding RNA. RefSeq lists it as uncharacterized. NCBI's taxonomy places the organism in Eukaryota, Viridiplantae, Streptophyta, Magnoliopsida, Caryophyllales, Amaranthaceae. The transcript has 2 exons. The record is from RefSeq and is a predicted model, not a curated record.
GCCAUUAAGGCGGUCUUACGAAAAAGACCGCCUUAUACAAAAGUUUGUAUCAAUUGUUUGUGCAACUGCUUUCCUGAUGGCUCGUUUGGAUUAAGAUCUGCAAUUUGAACUCGCGUGCUAUGCUCAUUAGGAUCUGCAAUUGAACUCCCCCGGUCGUCGAUACCAAAGUCCUCCCACCUGGUUCACUGAAUCCACUACUCUUGAUGUCACCCUCACCGGUCACAACUCAAAGGGAAGAAUCAUGUUUCGUUCGUGAUUAUUGCAAUUGAUGAUUGCAGGUCACAACUAAAAGGAAGAUCCACCUUAUUUUUGCUUUUUAGUUUUUCCAUCAUUCAAAUUAAUUUCAUUUUGGACUACUGUAAUACUUGUAUCAUUGUCAGAUGAAUGAAUAAUAUUUUUCUAUUUUAUUGAUUGCCUUUUAAUUUCAUUCGCUUUA